GGAGCCGGCCGGGCGGCCGCGGUGAGGCGAGUACGAGACGCCCCAUCGAGGAAAGUCCGGACUCCACAGGGCAGGACGCUGGGGAAAAUCCCAGGCGGGGCGACCCGUGGCCAGUGCAACAGAGAGCAGACCGCCCGAGUUUCUCGGGUAAGGGUGAAACGGUGAGGUAAGAGCUCACCAGCGUGCCGGGUGACCGGUGCGGCUAGGUAAACCCCGUCCGGAGCAAGACCAAGCAGGGGGUAAGGGUGGCCCGCCCGCCUCUCUCGAGGAGGACCCCCGGGUAGGUCGCAGGAGGCGGACGGCAACGUCCGUCGCAGAUGGAUGGCCGCCGCCCGCCGUCAGGCGGGCACAGAAUCCGGCUUACAGGCCGGCUCCUGGC
Molecule: RNase P RNA, 379 nt
Filed under: Actinomycetota bacterium
Lineage: Bacteria; Bacillati; Actinomycetota
Description: RNase P RNA component class A
Rfam family: Bacterial RNase P class A
About the family: Ribonuclease P (RNase P) is a ubiquitous endoribonuclease, found in archaea, bacteria and eukarya as well as chloroplasts and mitochondria. Its best characterised activity is the generation of mature 5'-ends of tRNAs by cleaving the 5'-leader elements of precursor-tRNAs. Cellular RNase Ps are ribonucleoproteins.
Source: RNAcentral